Molecule: ribosomal RNA, 361 nt
Filed under: uncultured bacterium
Lineage: Bacteria
Description: bacterial SSU rRNA
Rfam family: Bacterial small subunit ribosomal RNA
Source: RNAcentral
AACGAACGCUGGCGGCAUGCCUAACACAUGCAAGUCGAACGAGACCUUCGGGUCUAGUGGCGCACGGGUGCGUAACGCGUGGGAAUCUGCCCUUAGGUACGGAAUAACUCAGGGAAACUUGAGCUAAUACCGUAUAAUGACUCCGGUCCAAAGAUUUAUCGCCUAGGGAUGAGCCCGCGUCGGAUUAGCUAGUUGGUGAGGUAAAAGCUCACCAAGGCGACGAUCCGUAGCUGGCUGAGAGGAUGAUCAGCCACACUGGGACUGAGACACGGCCCACGACUCCUACCGGGAGGGCGAGCAGUGGGGAAGUAAUUGGUACGAAUAGGGCGGAAAGACCUCGAUCCACGCAAUAGCCGCCGUG